RNAcentral lists this ribosomal RNA (316 nucleotides) under uncultured eukaryote. RNAcentral's name for it is "partial 18S ribosomal RNA". It matches the Rfam family "Eukaryotic small subunit ribosomal RNA", at positions 1470 to 1796 of the family's 1831-position model. The record is from RNAcentral.
CCCUUAGAUGUUCUGGGAUGCACGCGCGUUACACUGAUUCGUUCAACGAGUUUAUGACCUUGCCUGAUGAGGUGGGGGAAUCUUUUCAAAUCGCAUCGUGAUGGGGAUAGAGUAUUGUAACUGUUAGUCUUCAACGAGGAAUUCCUAGUAAGUACGUGUCAUCAGCUCGUACUGAUUAUGUCCCUGCCCUUUGUACACACCGCCCGUCGCACCUACCGAUUGAAUGGUCCGGUGAAGCCUCCGGAUUGGCGCGCACCUCGGUGCCGCCGAGAAGUUGGCUAAACCUUACCAUUUAGAGGAAGGUGAAGUCGUAACA